ACACAAUGGCACAUAAUGACAAACCGAAAACAGGUUUUUCAAAAUGUUGGCAAAUUUAUUAAAAAUAAAAAACAGAAACCUAAUUUACAUAAGUAUUCAGACCUUUUGCUAUAAGACUUGAAAUUGAGCUCAGGUGCAUCCUGUUUCCAUUGAUUAUCCUUGAGAUGUUUCUACAACCUGGAGUCCACCUGUGGUAAAUUCAAUUGAUUGGACAUGAUUUGGAAAGGCACACAACUGUCUAUAUAAGGUUCCACAGUUGACAGUGCAUGUUAGAUUAAAAACCAAGCCAUGAGGUGGAAGGAAUUGUCUGUAGUGUUCCAAGAUUAGCGCUGAUAUCACAUCAAGAUGGCACCAAUGGAGAUGUCAGCUUUGAUUCUAGUCCUAAGGAAACAGUGCAGUAUUUUGAUUUUUAUGUAUUAUUUCUUGCAUUGUUAGCCCAGAAAACCGUAAGUGUUAUUACAUGCAUACAUUUCACGGAAACAUGGCUAGCUGGUGACAUGCUGUCGGAGUCAGUACAGCCAAUGGGGUUUUCAGUGCAGGAAUAAACAUCUCUCCGGUAAGAAGAAGAGCGGGGAUGUAUGUUUCAUGAUUAAUGACUCAUGGUGUAAUUGUAACAACAUACAGGAAUUCAUGUCCUUUUGUUCACCUAACCUAGAAUUCCUCACAAUAAAAUGCAGACCGUAUUAUCUUCCAAUAGAACUGUCCUCCGUUAUCGUCACAGCCGUGUAUAUCUCCCCGCAAGUGAUACCAAGACGGCCAUCAAGGAACUUCACUGGACUUUAUGCAACCUGGAAACCAUAUAUCCUGAGGCUGCAAAACUGAAAGCUAAUAGCAUUUAAUAAUGGCAAGGCAACUCGGGAAUAUGGCCUAAUGCAAACACUGUAGUUAUUCCCUCCGUACGGCAAUCAAACAAGCAAAGCAUUAGUAUAGAAACAAAGUGGAAUCCCAAUUCAACAUCUUAAACACGAGGCGUAUGUGGCAGGUUCUACAGACCAUCACAGAUUACAAAAAGAAAACCAGUCACAUCGUGGACAUCAACAACUUCUUUGUGCCACCAACGCGAACCGCUACCAAAGACUGUGGGCUCUCCUCCUCAGUGGCCGACAUCAGUAAAACAUUUAAACGUGUUAACCCUCGCAAGGUUGCCGACCCAGACGGCAGCCGCGUUCUCAGAGCAUGUGCAACUAGCUGGCUGGUGUGUUUACGGACAUAUUCAAUUAAUCCCUAUCCCAGUCUGCUGUCCCCACAUGCUUCAAGAUGGCCACCAUUGUUCCUGUUCCCAAGAAAGACAAGGUCCACAGACUGCCCCAAUAGGACCACGCUCUGUGCAACUGGGUCCUGGACUUCCUGACGGGCCGCCCCUAGGUGGUGAAGGUGCACAAUUGAGAGCAUACUGUCGGGCUGUAUCACCGCCUGGUACGGCAACGGCACUGCCCACAACCACAGGGCUCUCCUGAGGGUGGUGCAGUCUGCACAACUCAUCACCGAGGGCAAACUACCUGUCCUCCAGGACAUCUACAAUACCUGAUGUCACAGGAAGUCAAAAUGAUCAUCAAAGGUAAUAAC
This is a long non-coding RNA of Oncorhynchus masou masou (cherry salmon), 1566 nucleotides long. RefSeq lists it as uncharacterized. NCBI's taxonomy places the organism in Eukaryota, Metazoa, Chordata, Actinopteri, Salmoniformes, Salmonidae. The transcript has 3 exons. The record is from RefSeq and is a predicted model, not a curated record.